Molecule: ribosomal RNA, 254 nt
Filed under: uncultured bacterium
Lineage: Bacteria
Description: partial 16S ribosomal RNA
Rfam family: Bacterial small subunit ribosomal RNA
Source: RNAcentral
UACGUAGGGUGCGAGCGUUGUCCGGAAUUAUUGGGCGUAAAGAGCUCGUAGGCGGUGUGUUACGUCGGCCGUGAAAACCUGCAGCUUAACUGUGGGCGUGCGGUCGAUACGGGCAUCACUGGAGUUCGGCAGGGGAGACUGGAAUUCCUGGUGUAGCGGUGAAAUGCGCAGAUAUCAAGAGGAAUACCAACAGCGUAGGCAGCUUUCUGGAAGAUACCUGACUCUGAGGCACGAAGGCCAGGGGAGCAAACGGG